Vicia faba (fava bean) is the source of this 324-nucleotide non-coding RNA. The record is from the annotation of a GenBank genome assembly. Lineage: Eukaryota; Viridiplantae; Streptophyta; Magnoliopsida; Fabales; Fabaceae.
AUGCUCGCGAGAUCUUUCCGACCGACGACAAGUCUCCUCGCGAUUCUUAAAUUUAUCCUUUUUGACGCAGAAGAUAAAAUUAAAUCCACAAGCAUAAAUAUAGAAGCAGAGCACAGAACAGAAAACAUCAGUCCUGGGAUUCCGGACGUUAGACCAGAGAUACCAAAGACCACUACUAUAGAUUCCUUAUACACACAUACAUACACACUCAAGGAAGAAUCCCCUAAGAGACAAGUAAUAACGCUUAAAGAUGGUCACAGAAGCACUGCAAGAUGUCAAAAGCAACAUAUAUACAAGGCUUUUUCACCUACCCAGAGAAUGUAA